AUUCCAUUUAUUUCUCUUUUUUAAACAAACAAAAUGACCUGUCCAUAAACUAUACCUCUGUACAGUAUUCUUGCAAAGAAUUUCCGUUUCCCAGGAAUCAUGAUGUGAGUUUAGAUUGCUUGGCUCUAGCAGUAGGUUUGGUGAAGAAGUUCUCUUGUUCUAUUCCUACUCUAUCUGGACAUAUAAUAGUCUUCACAGACAGCACAAGAUCAUCUCAGACAAUCUCUUCUUUUGGUGCCUUUCUGCCAGAAGACAUUCAAGGACUCCAGUUCAGACUUUGUCUUCACAAUCAAAAAAACCAGUUUUGCUGCAGAAAGGCUGUCAGAGUGGCCGUGUUGAUUUUCUUAAUCCCACCUAGGACCCUGCCUAUUCCCUAUGCCCGAAUGGAUCUUAUGCUCCAACUUGGAUGA
RNAcentral lists this long non-coding RNA (410 nucleotides) under Cyanistes caeruleus (blue tit). RNAcentral describes it as "lncRNA (ENSCCEG00000024417.1)". Lineage: Eukaryota; Metazoa; Chordata; Aves; Passeriformes; Paridae. The record is from RNAcentral.